UAAGGGUUCCUGGGUCAAGCUGAUCUGCCCAGGGUAAGUCGGGACCUAAGGCGAGGCCGACAGGCGUAGUCGAUGGACAACCGGUUGAUAUUCCGGUACCCGCUUUGAAACGCCCAAUAUCGAAUCAGGCGAUGCUAAGUCCGUGAAGCCGUCCUGGAUCCUUCGGGUGAAGGGGAGUGGUGGAGCCGACGACCCAGACUUGUAGUAGGUAAGCGAUGGGGUGACGCAGGAAGGUAGUCCAGCCCGGGCGGUGGUUGUCCCGGGGUAAGGGUGUAGGGCGCUGUCUAGGCAAAUCCGGACAGCAUGAAGCCUGAGACCUGAUGCCGAGCCGAUUGUGGUGAAGUGGAUGAUCCUAUGCUGUCGAGAAAAGCCUCUAGCGAGUUUCAUGGCGGCCCGUACCCUAAACCGACUCAGGUGGUCAGGUAGAGAAUACCGAGGCGUUCGGGUGAACUAUGGUUAAGGAACUCGGCAAAAUGCCCCCGUAACUUCGGGAGAAGGGGGGCCAUGUCUGGUGAGGGAACUUGCUUCCUGAGCUGGGUGUGGCCGCAGAGACCAGCGAGAAGCGACUGUUUACUAAAAACACAGGUCCGUGCGAAGCCGUAAGGCGAUGUAUACGGACUGACGCCUGCCCGGUGCUGGAACGUUAAGGGGACCGGUUAGU
Molecule: ribosomal RNA, 661 nt
Filed under: Streptomyces mashuensis
Lineage: Bacteria; Bacillati; Actinomycetota; Actinomycetes; Kitasatosporales; Streptomycetaceae
Description: bacterial LSU rRNA
Rfam family: Bacterial large subunit ribosomal RNA
Source: RNAcentral